This 467-nucleotide ribosomal RNA is filed under the name uncultured bacterium. RNAcentral describes it as "partial 16S ribosomal RNA". It matches the Rfam family "Bacterial small subunit ribosomal RNA", at positions 28 to 506 of the family's 1533-position model. The record is from RNAcentral.
GACGAACGCUGGCGGCGUGCUUAACACAUGCAAGUCGAACGGAAAGGCCCUGCUUUUGUGGGGUGCUCGAGUGGCGAACGGGUGAGUAACACGUGAGUAACCUGCCCUUGACUUUGGGAUAACUUCAGGAAACUGGGGCUAAUACCGGAUAGGAGCUCCUGCUGCAUGGUGGGGGUUGGAAAGUUUCGGCGGUUGGGGAUGGACUCGCGGCUUAUCAGCUUGUUGGUGGGGUAGUGGCUUACCAAGGAUUUGACGGGUAGCCGGACUGGGAGGGUGACCGGCAAAAUUGGGACGGAGAUACGGCCAAGACGCAUACGGGAGGAAGAAGUGGGGAAUAGUGCAAAAUGGGCGGAAGCCUGAUGAAGAAACGCCGCGUGCGGGAUGACGGCCUUCGGGUUGUAAACCGAUUUCGCCUGUGACGAAGCGUGAGUGACGGUAAUGGGUAAAGAAGCACCGGCUAACUACGU